UCAGGAUGAAUGCUGGCGGCGUGCAUAACACAUCAAGUCGAACGGAACAAAGGGCUUCGGUUCUUGUUAGUGGCGGACGGGUGAGUAACGCGUGAGCAAUCUGCCUUUGACUGGGGGAGUAACAGAGGGAAACUUCUGCUAAUACCGCAUAACGCAGCGAAGCCGCAUGACUUUGCUGCCAAAGAUUUAUUGGUCAAAGAUGAGCUCGCGUCCGAUUAGAUAGAUGGCGGGGUAACGGCCCACCAUGUCGACGAUCGGUAGCCGGACUGAGAGGUUGAACGGCCACAUUGGAACUGAGAGACGGUCCAGACUCCUACGGGAGGCAGCAGUGGGGAAUAUUGGGCAAUGGGCGAAAGCCCUGACCCAGCGACGCCGCGUGAGGGAAGAAGGUCUUCGGAUUGUAAACCUUAGUUGGCAGGGAAGAAGAAAGUGACGGUACCUGCAGAGAAAGCCACGGCUAACUACGUGCCAGCCGCGGC
Molecule: ribosomal RNA, 479 nt
Filed under: uncultured bacterium
Lineage: Bacteria
Description: bacterial SSU rRNA
Rfam family: Bacterial small subunit ribosomal RNA
Source: RNAcentral